This 247-nucleotide long non-coding RNA is filed under the name Elaeis guineensis (African oil palm). Its description in RNAcentral is "long non-coding RNA (EGUI_LNC034006)". The record is from RNAcentral. Lineage: Eukaryota; Viridiplantae; Streptophyta; Magnoliopsida; Arecales; Arecaceae.
UUUACCCUUAACUUUGAUUUCUCUCAAAGAUCAUAUACUAAGUGCUUCUCAAAUACUUAAAAAUAUUUUCACAUCUAUCUAGUACUCUUAGUCUGAAUUUAACUAAUAUUUGCUCAUGACACUCACAGCAAAGAUGUAUUAGGUCAUGUACAUAGUAUAUAUGAGGCUCCCACUAGCAAAAGCAUAAAGGAUUUAGCUCAUGUGCUAUAUCUCCACAGAUAUGUCCCGCACAUCUUCUCAGAGAAAU